RNAcentral lists this long non-coding RNA (439 nucleotides) under Eucalyptus grandis. Its description in RNAcentral is "long non-coding RNA (EGRA_LNC004003)". The record is from RNAcentral. Lineage: Eukaryota; Viridiplantae; Streptophyta; Magnoliopsida; Myrtales; Myrtaceae.
GGAAGAAGAUGAAGGCGACAAUGGGAGAUCUCUACAAAAACAUCUGAUUUGCUCGCGGUGGUUCGCCGGUCGGAAAGAGGGAGGGCAGAGAGAGAGGGAGGUCGCGGUUCUCUCGCCAGUCCCGUGCAGUGGUUCGUCGAUUGCUCGCGGUCCUCUCGCCCGUGCGGUGGUUCAUCGGUCGGAAAGAGGGAAUGCAGAGAGAGAGGGAGGUCGCGGUCCUCUCGCCGGUCCCGUACGGUGGUUCGCCGGUCGGAAAGAGGGAGGGCAAAGGGAGGGAGCUAGAUCUCGCGGUCCUCUCGGCGGUCCGGUGCGGCGGUUCGUCGGUUGCUGGCGGUGGUUCGCCGGUCGGAAAGAGGGAGGGCACAGAGCGACUGGGAGGUCGCGACCUGUUCGUCGGAGAGAGAGAGGGGGAGGGUAGAGUGAGAGGCGCGAAGAAAGA